Non-coding RNA from Argiope bruennichi, 73 nucleotides. NCBI's taxonomy places the organism in Eukaryota, Metazoa, Arthropoda, Arachnida, Araneae, Araneidae. The record is from the annotation of a RefSeq genome assembly.
GGUUCCGUAGUGUAGUGGUUAUCACGUUCGCUUUUCACGCGAAAUGCCCCCGGUUCUAUCCCGGGAGGAACCA